CCUACGGGAGGCAGCAGUGGGGAAUCUUGCACAAUGGAGGAAACUCUGAUGCAGCGAUGCCGCGUGAGUGAAGAAGGCCUUUGGGUUGUAAAGCUCUUUCGUCGGGGAAGAAAAUGACUGUACCCGAAUAAGAAGGUCCGGCUAACUUCGUGCCAGCAGCCGCGGUAAUACGAAGGGACCUAGCGUAGUUCGGAAUUACUGGGCUUAAAGAGUUCGUAGGUGGUUGAAAAAGUUGGUGGUGAAAUCCCAGAGCUUAACUCUGGAACUGCCAUCAAAACUUUUCAGCUAGAGUUUGAUAGAGGAAAGCAGAAUUUCUAGUGUAGAGGUGAAAUUCGUAGAUAUUAGAAAGAAUACCAAUUGCGAAGGCAGCUUUCUGGAUCAUUACUGACACUGAGGAACGAAAGCAUGGGUAGCGAAGAGGAUUAGAUACCCUCGUAGUCCAUGCCGUAAACGAUGUGUGUUAGACGUUGGAAAUUUAUUUUCAGUGUCGCAGCGAAAGCGAUAAACACACCGCCUGGGGAGUACGACCGCAAGGUUAAAACUCAAAUGAAUUGACGG
This 558-nucleotide ribosomal RNA is filed under the name uncultured bacterium. Its description in RNAcentral is "bacterial SSU rRNA". It matches the Rfam family "Bacterial small subunit ribosomal RNA", at positions 338 to 916 of the family's 1533-position model. The record is from RNAcentral.